RNAcentral lists this small RNA (1943 nucleotides) under Histoplasma capsulatum. RNAcentral's name for it is "hypothetical RNA". RNAcentral also lists the same sequence under 1 other name. The record is from RNAcentral. Lineage: Eukaryota; Fungi; Ascomycota; Eurotiomycetes; Onygenales; Ajellomycetaceae.
CACAGAAAGAAGCAGCGAGUCACGUGUCAGGAGACAAGGGCGCUACCAAGGUAGGUAUCGGCCGUGCAGUUGAACGGGUGCUAAAUUUUCGGCCGGAAAAACCUUCGGUGGUGCUCUCCAUGGAUUAAACCACCUGACCAGAGUUGAACAGGGGCAAAACGUCUUGGCAAAAAUAUGAGAAAGCUUUUUUUUACACCCGUUCAACUGUAGCCUGUAUCAACAAACAACAACUACAUGCCCAUGUUCAUGCAGCGCCAUUAGACUAACAGAGGAGUAGAUAUUAUUUUAUUGAUAUCCUGUCAUCGGACAGGAAUUCAUUUGAUCACCGGGGAAGGUUGGUUUGCUCAUGGCGAGCCUUUGAUCUUUACCUCAUCUACUACCUGCAAGGUCCCUUUCCCUUCGAGUGGGUGGAGAAGACAGAGGACUUGAGAAUGUCUAUCAAAGACACCUCUAGCAAGAAGAUGGCUUUUUCAAUGUCUCUUGGGCUGCCCAAGGCUAUCAAUAAGUAUGAGAGGGUUACUCUGCUGGAGAACGGUUUGCAGAUUGCUGACGUUAUAAAAGCCACUGCAUCAAAGAGGUUAUCUGUGAAACUAGAGUAAGAUGAUAUAUUCUUGAUUUUCCUUGAUUUGCCCUUGCUCUUUUAACUGGAAAUUCUUAUUAUCUUUUCUAGUCAACGCUUCGACGCGCUACUGCGUAAGUUUCGGCACCGUAAUCGAUCGCUGCACCUACAGCGGAAUAGGUUUAUAGAAUAUGUCAAUAUUCGUUUAGUUUCACACUUCAGAACCAGUUAAAGCAGUGAAUGAUUGAUUCUCAAACUCAGUCUAUGAUUAAAAGCUCAAUGACAUUCAGUUUCUUUUAAAAGAGAGACUCUCUGAUUUAUCCACAUAUUAAUACAGAAAAUAUAUAUGAUUAUAUCCAGAGUGCUUAAACUCAUGAUCUUGUAUUGCCUAUUUCGAGUUAAAUCACACUUCUUCUACUUCAACUCUGAGCAGAAUAACAAUAACUCGACUUGAGAUCUCAUCUCUGGAGUACUUGUCAUCCAUAUGUUGCUGACUUGAGACGAUCAGUUAUCACCCCACACACGGAAUGGGCCUGAUCGUCGUUGGUUUCAAUAAUCAUGACAUUUAUCAAGCAAGCGUAUGUUGUGUCGCUCUUAAAUGUAACAUAAUAACUGGGGAAAGAAUCGGUUGUCUGAGCUUAAAUUCGGGUUCUGCAAUCAACGAACUUGCUGACUUUAAAGAACCAUCAGCAUGCUGACCUCAACUUGACAUGGGGGAAUUGUCAGCAAAAUCAAAAAUUCAAUUAUUACAUCAUAGUGGUCAUUGGUCGAUUACUCUUAGAUCGAAUAGGUUUGUAUAAAACUACUUAUAACACAGAUAUUCACCCUCUCAACAUCUAUUGAAAAUCAACAAAUAUUUACAAUUCAUUAAGAUAACGACCUCUUUCUCAAAAAAAUAUUUUGAAAUUAAAAUCCAACCAAACUCAAAAUGAAGACCUUCUACACCUUGGCUGCUCUCAUCAUGGCCUCCAUGAUCUCUGCUACCCCCGUUGCCCAGCCGGUAGAAAAUGUCCCCGCUAAGGAGGCUGUUGCUCCUGCCCGACACUGGUUCUACGCUGUUCCACAAGCUGAAGCUGAGGGGUCUGAUUAAACAAAUACUCCGACAUUUCCAAUUGAAAUACAACGGUAGACUAGAAGGGAGGAAACAGAGUAUACUCUAGCUGGGUAGUUGGGUGCGAUGGUGGGCUUGGCUGCGGGGAUACGUAUCUGUCAUAGCUUCUAUCUACAGCUGUAUUAGUUUAGCGACUAUAUGUCGGGAAUGAAUUGAAGAGAACUACUGAAGUAUGCACUUUAUGAAAAUGGUUUAAUGGUUUUAUGAAUAGUAUGAAACACAUAUUGCCAGAGUUGUAGAGUAAGACGAUGAAAGCAUUCUAUUCAAAACUAC